CCUACGGGGCGCAGCAGUGAGGAAUAUUGGUCAAUGGUCGGGAGACUGAACCAGCCAAGCCGCGUGAGGGAUGAAGGUACAGAGUAUCGUAAACCUCUUUUGUCAGGGAACAAAGGCGGGGACGCGUCCCCGGAUGAGUGUACCUGAAGAAAAAGCAUCGGCUAACUCCGUGCCAGCAGCCGCGGUAAUACGGAGGAUGCGAGCGUUAUCCGGAAUGACUGGGCGUAAAGGGAGUGUAGGCGGCUCGUUAAGUUAUAUGUGAAAUCCCGCGGCUCAACCGUGGAAGUGCAUAUAAAACUGGGGAGCUGGAGUGCAGGAGAGGUGAGUGGAAUUCCUAGUGUAGCGGUGGAAUGCGUAGAUAUUAGGAAGAACACCGGUGGCGAAGGCGGCUCACUGGACUGUAACUGACGCUGAGGCUCGAAAGCGUGGGGAGCAAACAGGAUUAGAUACCCGGGUAGUC
This 460-nucleotide ribosomal RNA is filed under the name uncultured bacterium. RNAcentral's name for it is "partial 16S ribosomal RNA". It matches the Rfam family "Bacterial small subunit ribosomal RNA", at positions 338 to 795 of the family's 1533-position model. The record is from RNAcentral.